Molecule: ribosomal RNA, 253 nt
Filed under: uncultured bacterium
Lineage: Bacteria
Description: partial 16S ribosomal RNA
Rfam family: Bacterial small subunit ribosomal RNA
Source: RNAcentral
UACGUAGGGUGCGAGCGUUGUCCGGAUUUAUUGGGCGUAAAGAGCUCGUAGGCGGUUUGUCGCGUCGGCCGUGAAAUCUCCACGCUUAACGUGGAGCGUGCGGUCGAUACGGGCAGACUUGAGUUCGGUAGGGGAGACUGGAAUUCCUGGUGUAGCGGUGAAAUGCGCAGAUAUCAGGAGGAACACCGGUGGCGAAGGCGGGUCUCUGGGCCGAUACCGACGCUGAGGAGCGAAAGCGUGGGGAGCGAACAGG